This 267-nucleotide ribosomal RNA is filed under the name uncultured bacterium. RNAcentral's name for it is "partial 16S ribosomal RNA". It matches the Rfam family "Bacterial small subunit ribosomal RNA", at positions 793 to 1055 of the family's 1533-position model. The record is from RNAcentral.
GUCCUAGCUGUAAACGAUGAGUACUGGGUAGAGUUGGUCCAAUGCCAGCUCUGCCGGAGCAAAUGUGUUAAGUACUCCGCCUGGGGAGUAUGGUCGCAAGGCUAAAACUCAAAGGAAUUGACGGGGGCUCACACAAGCGGUGGAGCAUGUGGUUUAAUUCGAAGCAACGCGAAGAACCUUACCCGGGUUUGAAAUGUACGGAUUAGGAUGCUGAAAGGUGUCUGACGCCGCAAGGUGGAACGUACACAGGUGUUGCAUGGCUGUCGU